GUGAUGACGACCGUGAGACAAGUUAUACAAAAGUGAGAGCAAUAUAUGUAAAAAGGUUACUGAAUGGGACUUACCCUCUAAUUGUCUUUUUGGGAAAUGAGGGACAAAGAAGUCACCCCAUUUGCUGGUGGUCUCAGAAAACAGCUGAUCUGGAACGCGGAUUUCGACAUAAUUUAACAUACUACAGGAAGGAUAACCAGGGUCGAAAAAAGCGUGGGUCAUGGCAAGUACGAAAUACAACCUACAAAGUUAGUCGCAGGAAUGAUUUACCAACCAUCGGUGUUACAGCGUUGAUGG
This is a long non-coding RNA of Rhipicephalus sanguineus (brown dog tick), 297 nucleotides long. RefSeq lists it as uncharacterized. The transcript is spliced from 4 exons. Lineage: Eukaryota; Metazoa; Arthropoda; Arachnida; Ixodida; Ixodidae. The record is from RefSeq and is a predicted model, not a curated record.